GCAAGUCUUGGAGAUAAUCAUGUGAAGCCCCUCCCACUUCGCCCAGCACCCAUGACACGGCAGCGAGCAUUUGGGUUGUAGCUGCUGGUGACUUGCUACGUGAGCCUGUGUGUAUCUCCUGCCUUCUCUGAGCUUCGUUUUCCCCAGCCUGGUAGUGAGAUGGCUGAUCAGAUGACCGCUCAAGUCCAAAUGUCAGCAGUUCCUGGAGCUCCGAGGAGACGCCUGGACUGCCAGUACCUGAUCCUAAGACACCCUCCAAAAGAUCUCCUUCCACAUUGCUGCUGCCUCCAGGACUGGCAACAUUUUGGGGGAAAGGACCAAGUAGCAUGAACAAGGAAAUCAUGACUCACAAUCAAAACAAGAGCCCAGACCCCGUGAGUCCAUCUGUCCGGGUCACAGAGUACCUUCACAGCCAUGAUCUUACUUUAUAUUCCCAAUGACCUGACAGGGAAGGUUUUACUGUAAUUGCCAUGAUUAUUAUUUGUGUCAUCAUUGCCAUUCCUCAUUACUAUUAUCUCGUGACUGUAGCAUGCAGCCACUCCUGGGCCCCUGGCAGACAUGAGUAAUCAACCAGGCUGCCAGGGGCCCAGUGAUCAAUCAAUCACUAGGCCUCCGGGUGUCCUCAGAAUUUCCUCCAUCUGGCACUGUAGGUGGUCAUCACCCUUCAACUGAAGUUGGCGU
Molecule: long non-coding RNA, 681 nt
Organism: Phyllostomus hastatus (greater spear-nosed bat)
Lineage: Eukaryota; Metazoa; Chordata; Mammalia; Chiroptera; Phyllostomidae
Exons: 3
Source: RefSeq, a predicted model, not a curated record